AAUUGAAGAGUUUGAUCAUGGCUCAGAUUGAACGCUGGCGGCAGGCCUAACACAUGCAAGUCGAGCGGUAGCACAGAGAGCUUGCUCUCGGGUGACGAGCGGCGGACGGGUGAGUAAUGUCUGGGAAACUGCCUGAUGGAGGGGGAUAACUACUGGAAACGGUAGCUAAUACCGCAUAACGUCGCAAGACCAAAGUGGGGGACCUUCGGGCCUCAUGCCAUCAGAUGUGCCCAGAUGGGAUUAGCUAGUAGGUGGGGUAACGGCUCACCUAGGCGACGAUCCCUAGCUGGUCUGAGAGGAUGACCAGCCACACUGGAACUGAGACACGGUCCAGACUCCUACGGGAGGCAGCAGUGGGGAAUAUUGCACAAUGGGCGCAAGCCUGAUGCAGCCAUGCCGCGUGUGUGAAGAAGGUCUUCGGGUUGUAAAGCACUUUCAGCGGGGAGGAAGGCGAUAAGGUUAAUAACCUUGUCGAUUGACGUUACCCGCAGAAGAAGCACCGGCUAACUCCGUGCCAGCAGCCGCGGUAAUACGGAGGGUGCAAGCGUUAAUCGGAAUUACUGGGCGUAAAGCGCACGCAGGCGGUCUGUCAAGUCGGAUGUGAAAUCCCCGGGCUCAACCUGGGAACUGCAUUCGAAACUGGCAGGCUAGAGUCUUGUAGAGGGGGGUAGAAUUCCAGGUGUAGCGGUGAAAUGCGUAGAGAUCUGGAGGAAUACCGGUGGCGAAGGCGGCCCCCUGGACAAAGACUGACGCUCAGGUGCGAAAGCGUGGGGAGCAAACAGGAUUAGAUACCCUGGUAGUCCACGCCGUAAACGAUGUCGAUUUGGAGGUUGUGCCCUUGAGGCGUGGCUUCCGGAGCUAACGCGUUAAAUCGACCGCCUGGGGAGUACGGCCGCAAGGUUAAAACUCAAAUGAAUUGACGGGGGCCCGCACAAGCGGUGGAGCAUGUGGUUUAAUUCGAUGCAACGCGAAGAACCUUACCUGGUCUUGACAUCCACAGAACUUUCCAGAGAUGGAUUGGUGCCUUCGGGAACUGUGAGACAGGUGCUGCAUGGCUGUCGUCAGCUCGUGUUGUGAAAUGUUGGGUUAAGUCCCGCAACGAGCGCAACCCUUAUCCUUUGUUGCCAGCGGUCCGGCCGGGAACUCAAAGGAGACUGCCAGUGAUAAACUGGAGGAAGGUGGGGAUGACGUCAAGUCAUCAUGGCCCUUACGACCAGGGCUACACACGUGCUACAAUGGCAUAUACAAAGAGAAGCGACCUCGCGAGAGCAAGCGGACCUCAUAAAGUAUGUCGUAGUCCGGAUUGGAGUCUGCAACUCGACUCCAUGAAGUCGGAAUCGCUAGUAAUCGUAGAUCAGAAUGCUACGGUGAAUACGUUCCCGGGCCUUGUACACACCGCCCGUCACACCAUGGGAGUGGGUUGCAAAAGAAGUAGGUAGCUUAACCUUCGGGAGGGCGCUUACCACUUUGUGAUUCAUGACUGGGGUGAAGUCGUAACAAGGUAACCGUAGGGGAACCUGCGGUUGGAUCACCUCCUUA
RNAcentral lists this ribosomal RNA (1539 nucleotides) under Klebsiella pneumoniae subsp. pneumoniae KPNIH10. RNAcentral describes it as "bacterial SSU rRNA". It matches the Rfam family "Bacterial small subunit ribosomal RNA". Lineage: Bacteria; Pseudomonadati; Pseudomonadota; Gammaproteobacteria; Enterobacterales; Enterobacteriaceae. The record is from RNAcentral.